Molecule: ribosomal RNA, 468 nt
Filed under: uncultured bacterium
Lineage: Bacteria
Description: partial 16S ribosomal RNA
Rfam family: Bacterial small subunit ribosomal RNA
Source: RNAcentral
GACGAACGCUGGCGGCGUGCUUAACACAUGCAAGUCGAACGGAAAGGCCCUGCUUUUGUGGGGUGCUCGAGUGGCGAACGGGUGAGUAACACGUGAGUAACCUGCCCUUGACUUUGGGAUAACUUCAGGAAACUGGGGCUAAUACCGGAUAGGAGCUCCUGCUCCAUGGUGGGGGUUGGAAAGUUUCGGCGGUUGGGGAUGGACUCGCGGCUUAUCAACUUGUUGGUGGGGGAGUGGCUUACCAAGGCUUUGACGGGUAGCCGGCCUGAGAGGGUGACCGGCCACAUUGGGACUGAGAUACGGCGCAGACUCCUACGGGAGGCAGCAGUGGGGAAUAUUGCACAAUGGGCGGAAGCCUGAUGCAGCAACGCCGCGUGCGGGAUGACGGCCUUCGGGCUGUAAACCGCUUUAGCCUGUGACGAAGCGUGAGUGACGGUAAUGGGUAAAGAAGCACCGGCUAACUACGUG